RNAcentral lists this ribosomal RNA (253 nucleotides) under uncultured bacterium. RNAcentral's name for it is "partial 16S ribosomal RNA". It matches the Rfam family "Bacterial small subunit ribosomal RNA", at positions 524 to 776 of the family's 1533-position model. The record is from RNAcentral.
UACGUAGGUGGCGAGCGUUGUCCGGAUUUACUGGGCGUAAAGAGCGCGCAGGCGGUCGUACAAGUCGCUUGUUAAAGCCCCCGGCUCAACUGGGGAGGGUCACGCGAUACUGUUCGACUCGAAGGCAGGAGAGGGUAGUGGAAUUCCCGGUGUAGUGGUGAAAUGCGUAGAUAUCGGGAGGAACACCAGUGGCGAAGGCGGCUUGCUGGGCAUGAUCUGACGCUGAGGCGCGAAAGCGUGGGGAGCAAACAGG